UACGUAGGUGGCAAGCGUUGUCCGGAUUUACUGGGUGUAAAGGGCGUGUAGCCGGGCUGCCAAGUCAGAUGUGAAAUCCGGGGGCUCAACCCCCGAACUGCAUUUGAAACUGUUGGUCUUGAGUAUCGGAGAGGCAGGCGGAAUUCCUAGUGUAGCGGUGAAAUGCGUAGAUAUUAGGAGGAACACCAGUGGCGAAGGCGGCCUACUGGACGGUGACUGACGCUGAGGCUCGAAAGCGUGGGGAGCAAACAGG
RNAcentral lists this ribosomal RNA (253 nucleotides) under uncultured bacterium. RNAcentral describes it as "partial 16S ribosomal RNA". It matches the Rfam family "Bacterial small subunit ribosomal RNA", at positions 524 to 776 of the family's 1533-position model. The record is from RNAcentral.